GACGGGGGAUGCAAGCGUUAUCCGGAAUCACUGGGCGUAAAGGGCGCGUAGGCGGCCUAGCAAGUCUGGUGUGAAAGCCCAGGGCUCAACCCUGGAAGGGCACUGGAAACUGUUAGGCUUGAGUUCCGGAGAGGAGGGGGGAAUUCCCGGUGUAGCGGUGAAAUGCGUAGAUAUCGGGAGGAAUACCGGUGGCGAAGGCGCCCCUCUGGACGGAAACUGACGCUGAGGCGCGAAAGCGUGGGGAGCAAACAGG
Molecule: ribosomal RNA, 253 nt
Filed under: uncultured bacterium
Lineage: Bacteria
Description: partial 16S ribosomal RNA
Rfam family: Bacterial small subunit ribosomal RNA
Source: RNAcentral